ACAAAUACAUGGUCCUGAGAAAACAUCAGACUAAAGCAAGAAGUACUUUACAAAUUAACACUCCAGUACUCUGGAGAAAUAUCAAGGUUAUGAAAGACAAAGGUCAAUGAAAGAACCUUUCCAGAUUAAAGGAAAAUAGGAAUCCAGGACAACAAAAUGAAUCCUCGUCUUACAUUAGAUCCUGGGGUGAGCAUUUGCUGCAACACAGGGUGAAUUUUUACUUCUAUUGCCUUGAGGACAUUCAUUGGAAACAUCAUGUUGCACUUGAUGGAGACUCUCCUGAUGAAAAGGCAUCUUUAUGGUAAGAUAAUCUGGCAUAUAAGUAAAUCCCACCGGCUCACAACUUUGUAAGGUGCUGAAGAGGAUGAAGCUCCUUAUCCCUGGAAGACCAGUGUGUUUUUUUACGGAAUGUCUAAAGCUUCAUGACCCAAGAAUACCUUUCUCAAGGAGCCAGGAGAUACUUCUUCGAAAUGCAAUCUUCAAGCGAGACAGAACCCCACGUGUAUCUCCAGUUUCUUUGGGAAAGUAUGCGUCUCCCUCCUGUCAGAGCUCUAUGAGAAAGUUUACUUUCUCCUGGGUAAAGCUAGUUAGUAAACACAGAUGACCUGCGUUCUCUGUCUCACCCCCAUACUUAGAACUUCCCUGCCCUUCAAUUCCACAGAGUUGAGUUCAUUCGGAGUUCUGGCCUCUACCCUAUUGAAAUGGCCUUGAGUAGAGUCUUCCUUGUGUGUUUA
Molecule: long non-coding RNA, 734 nt
Organism: Leopardus geoffroyi (Geoffroy's cat)
Lineage: Eukaryota; Metazoa; Chordata; Mammalia; Carnivora; Felidae
Exons: 4
Source: RefSeq, a predicted model, not a curated record